AGAUUGUAAGAAUGUGACUGUGGCAUUGAACUCAACUGUAGGUACUCCGUCACGAUGUUUUACUACAGGGAGUCAAGUUUUAGAGUCUUUAAGUUUUGAUGAGGUUUGUAAUCCUUUCUUGUGACAGUGAAACAAUUGAAAAUUUAAAAUUAUUGUCAAGGUGUAACAGAAAACAUGAAUAAACCUGGAAAUUGUUGACCUGAGUUUAUC
RNAcentral lists this long non-coding RNA (210 nucleotides) under Mytilus galloprovincialis (Mediterranean mussel). The record is from RNAcentral. Lineage: Eukaryota; Metazoa; Mollusca; Bivalvia; Mytilida; Mytilidae.